CCGCCCCCCCCCCCCCCCCCCCCCCCCCCCCGGACGACGGCUGGGCGGAGGAAGAAAGGGUCGAGAUCUGGACGCAGAUCUGGAAAUCCACCGUGUUGAGUCACCCUGAGCCAAGCCGCUGCCGUCGCUGUGACCGAGUACCAGCCGCGAACCACGAGAUCCCAACGUCGGUUGCUGCUGUCUUCUCCCCCACGAGCCACUCCUGCUCCGAAGCUCGAAGAACCAGCGCGAAAUCGAAGCCGUCGUAACGGAGUUUCCCCGGUCGUGUUGGUCUAUGGUCGUUGCCACCGUAUAAACGCCGUGGACAGGUAACGAUGGGCCUCGCUCGCGCCGUCAACAUCGUUCCACCCCCUCGAAACCCUAGCCACCGUUCGUCCGUGUCGCCGCCUCCGAGUCACCGCCAGGUGACGUCACUAACCCCCCUUCUCGGCGCCGCACAUUGUCGAGCCCUAGGGUUCCCAAGAACCGGGUCGGUCGGGUCGGGGGCGCGACCCCUUCACCCUAGGGUUUUCUCGCGCGGGUCGGGCUUGGUUUUGCUCUUCGGGCUGGGUUUAUGCAAUAUCGGAUCAAUUGGGCCGGUCUCAAGCGGGCUGGUCUCUCGUGGGCCCAGAAGCAAGUGACCCUUUUGUCUUUUCGUGCGGGCUUUAAUUGAAAAAUUCUGGGCCGAGCCCAUGUUCAGGCCCAUCCGGGCCAUAUGUUGGCCAUUCGGGCCAAGGGCCAGCGAACCGGGUCGGUCCCAACCCGGGAAUCUGAC
This 754-nucleotide long non-coding RNA is filed under the name Eucalyptus grandis. RNAcentral's name for it is "long non-coding RNA (EGRA_LNC006424)". Lineage: Eukaryota; Viridiplantae; Streptophyta; Magnoliopsida; Myrtales; Myrtaceae. The record is from RNAcentral.